AAGGAGCCCCCCCCCCCUCCCCCUCUCUCUCCAUUCUUUCCGGCGAGCAACAACAGCUGCGAGCAACAGCUCCGGCGCCACCCUCUCCUAUCUCCUCCUCUCCGUCUUCUCUCCCUCUCAUCUCCCUCCGCUUCUCAUUCCUUUCACCCUUCCCUUUCUUUUUUCCCUUUUUCUCUCCUCUCUUUGCAGGAUCAGUCCAGCAGCGAUGGACUCCGGCGAGGAGAGCAGCAAGCAAUCGCUGACGGAAAGACCAUCGGCAGGAGCAAGCAGCAGCCCUGCGCAACAGAAACAGCAACGAGGAACAACACAACGGCAACAACAAUUUUCAGCGAAGUUCAAGACAGAUCUCAACAGAUCUGUCCAGACAGAGAGGGGACUCUUUCAUACCUGCUAACUCCUAGGAUGAGAAGUAGGUCCCUUGUUUUUGGCAGGAAGAGUUCCAGCCUUUGUUGCCCCUCGGUAGAGUGAGUCUACUUAGCGAACUGGCAGGACGCGGAGAUCUAUUGAUCAAUAUGAAUCUCGAGGCUAGGCAACUCAAGAAGCUCUACAUAUAAAAAAGUUGAUACAAGAUUAUACUAUUUCUUUCAUCAAAGUAGGAGAUAAGGGAAAAAGGGGUAUGCAGCGCUUCCGGCCCAACUAACUUUUCUUUUUGAAUCAGGAAAUACUCUUCCUCCAUGUCCGGCAAGCAGUGAUGAUGGAGCUGAUCAAGAGGGUGAUGAGAAUGAUAAGGGUGAUAAGGAGAGUGAUGGUGAUAAAGAGUAGUUGUAUUGGUUUGACAUUUUAGACUUCUAUAUUUUUGGAAUUGUUUGAUCGUAUUUUAGUUAAUUUUGAAGUUGAAUGAAGUUUAUUUUGAAAUAGUUUAA
This is an RNA transcript of Solanum pennellii, 863 nucleotides long. RefSeq lists it as uncharacterized. NCBI's taxonomy places the organism in Eukaryota, Viridiplantae, Streptophyta, Magnoliopsida, Solanales, Solanaceae. The transcript has 3 exons. The record is from RefSeq and is a predicted model, not a curated record.